RNAcentral lists this transfer RNA (77 nucleotides) under Lysinibacillus sphaericus. RNAcentral's name for it is "tRNA-Met(cat)". It matches the Rfam family "tRNA". Rfam says of the family: Transfer RNA (tRNA) molecules are approximately 80 nucleotides in length. Their secondary structure includes four short double-helical elements and three loops (D, anti-codon, and T loops). Further hydrogen bonds mediate the characteristic L-shaped molecular structure. tRNAs have two regions of fundamental functional importance: the anti-codon, which is responsible for specific mRNA codon recognition, and the 3' end, to which the tRNAs corresponding amino acid is attached (by aminoacyl-tRNA synthetases). tRNAs cope with the degeneracy of the genetic code in two manners: having more than one tRNA (with a specific anti-codon) for a particular amino acid; and 'wobble' base-pairing, i.e. permitting non-standard base-pairing at the 3rd anti-codon position. The record is from RNAcentral. Lineage: Bacteria; Bacillati; Bacillota; Bacilli; Caryophanales; Bacillaceae. RNAcentral also lists the same sequence under 6 other names.
UGGCGGCGUAGCUCAGCUGGCUAGAGCGUACGGUUCAUACCCGUAAGGUCGGGGGUUCGAUCCCCUCUGCCGCCAUC